CUCUUCUUCUCCUUCUCGAUUUUUUGUUAGAUCUGAUGUUAUUGUGGAUGUUUAGGACUGUCUAGGAUUCAAUUAGUCUAUGCCUUUUCUCGAUUUUUCUCUUUGUUCGAUUUCACUCUUUGUCUAGGGUUAUAGAUCUUUUGUUUAUGAUUUGUACUUGUUUCUGAUUUUUUUGCAAGAGCUAAACCAUCGAAGGGUACCUCCUGGAGCUGUACCAAAUGGAACUGUACCACCAGGAGCCACUCCAUCUCCAAGCGCUACGUCGUCACAUGCAAACAACUGCAGCCAAAGAACUCUUGAUGCAUUGCUGAGUGCUCCUGAAAGAGAAUCCCAGCCACACCUGCACCCAAGGAAGCUUAAUGGAGCUUUAUGGUUUGGUAUUGACCCCUCUGUCUACAAAUUCAUUCG
This is a long non-coding RNA of Arabidopsis lyrata subsp. lyrata, 408 nucleotides long. RefSeq lists it as uncharacterized. Lineage: Eukaryota; Viridiplantae; Streptophyta; Magnoliopsida; Brassicales; Brassicaceae. The record is from RefSeq and is a predicted model, not a curated record. The transcript has 2 exons.